UACGUAGGGUGCGAGCGUUAAUCGGAAUUACUGGGCGUAAAGCGUGCGCAGGCGGUUCGCCAAGUCAGGUGUGAAAUCCCCGGGCUUAACCUGGGAAUUGCAGUCGAUACUACUCAGCUAGAGUAUGGGAGAGGGCAGUGGAAUUCCCGGUGUAGCGGUGAAAUGCGUAGAUAUCGGGAGGAACAUCAGUGGCGAAGGCGGCUGCCUGGCCCAAUACUGACACUCAGGUGCGACAGCGUGGGGAGCAAACAGG
RNAcentral lists this ribosomal RNA (253 nucleotides) under uncultured bacterium. Its description in RNAcentral is "partial 16S ribosomal RNA". It matches the Rfam family "Bacterial small subunit ribosomal RNA", at positions 524 to 776 of the family's 1533-position model. The record is from RNAcentral.